UACGAAGGGUGCAAGCGUUAAUCGGAAUUACUGGGCGUAAAGCGUGCGUAGGCGGUUAUUUAAGUCUGUUGUGAAAUCCCCGGGCUCAACCUGGGAAUGGCAUUUGGGACUGCAAGGCUGGAGUGCGGCAGAGGAGACUGGAAUUCCUGGUGUAGCAGUGAAAUGCGUAGAUAUCAGGAGGAACACCGAUGGCGAAGGCAGGUCUCUGGGCUGACACUGACGCUCAUGCACGAAAGCGUGGGGAGCGAACAGG
This 253-nucleotide ribosomal RNA is filed under the name uncultured bacterium. Its description in RNAcentral is "partial 16S ribosomal RNA". It matches the Rfam family "Bacterial small subunit ribosomal RNA", at positions 524 to 776 of the family's 1533-position model. The record is from RNAcentral.